RNAcentral lists this long non-coding RNA (1084 nucleotides) under Ornithorhynchus anatinus (platypus). Its description in RNAcentral is "lncRNA (ENSOANG00000036066.1)". Lineage: Eukaryota; Metazoa; Chordata; Mammalia; Monotremata; Ornithorhynchidae. The record is from RNAcentral.
CUCACAUCAGCAACUCUGGGAUUUCUCUCCGGACUCAUCCUUUCACCUCAAUCACAUGCUGUCCUGGUGCCUCUGAGUCUGUCAGAAUUUACCCCUGUGGUGAUUCACCUCAGCACCGCCGAUUCACCCGAAGUUUCCAGGGUAGCUUUGGUUCCUCUGACUUCCCCUUUCUUCACUAUGGGAGUCUAGAAUCUCCGUAUUUCUUGGCUAACAACUGGAAUGGAAGCGUUCAUUGUAAAUGCAGGAGAUUCACAUUAAAUUAUGGAAUCUGGAUUGGGCUGUAGAGACCUAUUGCGGCAAUGCUGGGUCCUUCUGCCUACUGUACCCUGUGAUCAGAAUGCCAGAGCUCCAGCUGUCCUUACCGGAGGCCAGUUCGGAAGGGCGGCACUGUCCCGUGGCACCAAGGGCAAGUCAGGCCAUCUGAAGGACUGAGUCCCCUUCUCUGCUUCGCCACCCUACUCCAGUCAGGAAACCAGAAUUCCUUCCUUCCUUCAUUCAUUCAUAUUUAUUAAGCACUUACUGAUGAUGAUGGUAUUUGUUAAGCGCUUACUAUGUGCCAAGUGCUGGGGUAGAUACAAGGUAAUCAGUUUGUCCCGCCUGGGGCUCACAGCCUUACUCUCCAUUUUACAGAUGAGGUAACUGAGGCCCAGAGAUGUGAAGUGGCUUGCCCAAAGUCACACAGCUGACAAGUGGCAGAGCCGAGAUUAGAACCCACUACCUCUGACUCCUAAGCCCUUGCUCUUACCAAUAAGCCAUGCUGAUGCUCUGUGUGCAGAGCCUGUACUAAAUGCUUGGGAAAGUACAAUACAGCAAUAAACAGUGACAUUUCCUGUCUACCACGAGCUCACAGUUUGGAGGGGGACAGACAUCAAUACAAAAUUACAGAUAUAUAUAUAAAUAUAUGUACACAGAUAUAUAUAUAGUGGGGAGAGGACAGAGGGGGGAGAGCAAAGGGAGUAAGUCAGGGUGACACAGAGGGAGUGGGAGAUGAGGAAUAGUGGGGCUUAAUCUGGGAGGAGAUAUGCCUUCAAUAAGGCUUUGAAGCAGGGGCAAGUAAUUGCCUGUCUGAUUUGAGAAGGGAGGU